Molecule: ribosomal RNA, 707 nt
Filed under: uncultured bacterium
Lineage: Bacteria
Description: bacterial SSU rRNA
Rfam family: Bacterial small subunit ribosomal RNA
Source: RNAcentral
GGAUAAUCGGGAGAAAUUCCGUCUAAUACGGCAUAAUGCAUCGACGGGACAUCCUGUUGGUGCCAAAGGUUGAUUCCGGUGGCGGAUGGGCAUGCGUCGCAUUAGUUAGUUGGCGGUGUAACGGACCACCAAGACGACGAUGCGUAGGGGUUCUGAGAGGAAGGUCCCCCACACUGGUACUGAGACACGGACCAGACUCCUACGGGAGGCAGCAGUGAGGAAUAUUGGUCAAUGGGCGGGAGCCUGAACCAGCCAAGUCGCGUGAGGGAUGACGGUCCUAUGGGUUGUAAACCUCUUUUGCCGGGGAGCAAAGUGCCGCACGUGUGCGGUUUGGAGAGUACCCGGAGAAAAAGCAUCGGCUAACUCCGUGCCAGCAGCCGCGGUAAUACGGAGGAUGCGAGCGUUAUCCGGAUUUAUUGGGUUUAAAGGGUGCGUAGGCGGACGCUUAAGUCAGCGGUAAAAUUGCGGGGCUCAACCUCGUCGAGCCGUUGAAACUGGGUGCCUUGAGUGGGCGAGAAGUACGCGGAAUGCGUGGUGUAGCGGUGAAAUGCAUAGAUAUCACGCAGAACUCCGAUUGCGAAGGCAGCGUACCGGCGCCCUACUGACGCUGAAGCACGAAGGCGUGGGUAUCGAACAGGAUUAGAUACCCUGGUAGUCCACGCAGUAAACGAUGAAUGCUAGUUGUCCGGGGCGAUUGAGUUCUGGGU